RNAcentral lists this ribosomal RNA (404 nucleotides) under Eophreatoicus wurrkbaba. Its description in RNAcentral is "partial 16S ribosomal RNA". It matches the Rfam family "Bacterial large subunit ribosomal RNA", at positions 1926 to 2559 of the family's 2925-position model. The record is from RNAcentral. Lineage: Eukaryota; Metazoa; Arthropoda; Malacostraca; Isopoda; Amphisopidae.
AAAAGCCGCAGUAUACUAACUGUGCAAAGGUAGCAAAAUAAUUUGUCUUUUAAUUAAAGACUAGAAUGAAUGGUCUGACGAGGAAAAAUCUAUUUCAUAAUUUUAAAUAAAAUUAACAUAUAAGUAAAAAGGCUUAUAUACAUCAGCAAGACGACAAGACCCUAUAAAACUUUACCUUCUAAAUAAUAAACCUUAGUAAAUGUAUAUAAUUUAAGGGUUUAACUGGGGCGGUAUUUAUAUAACMUUUAACUAUACAAAAUUAACCAUAAAUUAAUGAAUAAAUAAAUCUUAAAUWAAACMUAACAAAAAGUUACUUUAGGGAUAACAGCAUAAUACUCUUAAAGAGUUCAAAUCGACAAGAGUGAUUAUGACCUCGAUGUUGAAUUGGGAAACCAUCUAAAAGC